This is a non-coding RNA of Gossypium raimondii (Peruvian cotton), 117 nucleotides long. The record is from Rfam. Lineage: Eukaryota; Viridiplantae; Streptophyta; Magnoliopsida; Malvales; Malvaceae.
GGGUGCAAUCAUACUAACACUAAUACAUCGAAUCCCAUCAGAACUCCGCAAUUAAACGUGCUUGGAUGAGAGAAGUACUAGGAUGGGUAACCUUUUGAGAAUCAUAAAAAGAAUUAA